AUUGAACGCUGGCGGCUGGCCUAACACAUGCAAGUCGAGCGAGCGGCGGACGGGUGAGUAAUGUCUGUGAAACUGCCUGAUGGAGGGGGCUAACUACUGGAAGCGGUAGCUAAUACCGCAUACCAUCAGAUGUGCCCAGGUGGGAUUAGCUAGUAGGUGGGGUAAUGGCUAACCCAGGCGACGAUCCCUAGCUGGUCUGAGAGGAUGACCAGUCACACUGGAACUGAGACACGGUCCAGACUCCUACGGGAGGCAGCAGUGGGGAAUAGUGGACAAUGGGCGAAAGCCUGAUGUAGCCAUGCCGCGUGUGUGAAGAAGGCCUUCGGGUUGUAAAGCACUUUCAGCGGGGAGGCGUUACCCGCAGAAGAAGCACCGGCUAACUCCGUGCCAGCAGCCGCGGUAAUUC
This 406-nucleotide ribosomal RNA is filed under the name uncultured bacterium. Its description in RNAcentral is "partial 16S ribosomal RNA". It matches the Rfam family "Bacterial small subunit ribosomal RNA", at positions 30 to 526 of the family's 1533-position model. The record is from RNAcentral.